RNAcentral lists this ribosomal RNA (273 nucleotides) under uncultured prokaryote. Its description in RNAcentral is "partial 16S ribosomal RNA". It matches the Rfam family "Bacterial small subunit ribosomal RNA", at positions 524 to 796 of the family's 1533-position model. The record is from RNAcentral.
UACGGAGGAUGCAAGCGUUAUCCGGAUUCAUUGGGUUUAAAGGGUGCGCAGGCGGAAUGAUAAGUCAGUGGUGAAAUCCUACGGCUCAACUGUAGAACUGCCAUUGAUACUGUCGUUCUUGAGUACACUUGGAGUGGGCGGAAUGUGUCAUGUAGCGGUGAAAUGCUUAGAUAUGACACAGAACACCGAUCGCGAAGGCAGCUCACUAAAUUGUAACUGACGCUCAGGCACGAAAGCGUGGGGAUCAAACAGGAUUAGAAACCCUAGUAGUCC